GACGAACGCUGGCGGCGUGCUUAACACAUGCAAGUCGAACGGUGAAGGAAGAGCUUGCUCUUCCGGAUCAGUGGCGAACGGGUGAGUAACACGUGGGCAACCUGCCCUGACUCUGGGAUAACUCCUCGAAAGAGGUGCUAAUACCGGAUACGACCACUUCGGACAUCCGAUGGUGGUGGAAAAGUUUUUCGGUCAGGGAUGGGCCCGCGGCCUAUCAGCUAGUUGGUGGGGUAAUGGCCUACCAAGGCGACGACGGGUAGCCGGCCUGAGAGGGCGACCGGCCACACUGGGACUGAGACACGGCCCAGACUCCUACGGGAGGCAGCAGUGGGGAAUAUUGCGCAAUGGGCGAAAGCCUGACGCAGCGACGCCGCGUGAGGGAUGAAGGGCCUUCGGGUUGGUAAACCUCUUUCAGCAGGGACGAAGCGAAAGUGACGGUACCUGCAGAAGAAGCACCGGCUAACUACGUGCCAGCAGCCGCGGUAAU
Molecule: ribosomal RNA, 487 nt
Filed under: uncultured bacterium
Lineage: Bacteria
Description: bacterial SSU rRNA
Rfam family: Bacterial small subunit ribosomal RNA
Source: RNAcentral